This 262-nucleotide unclassified non-coding RNA is filed under the name Hevea brasiliensis (rubber tree). Lineage: Eukaryota; Viridiplantae; Streptophyta; Magnoliopsida; Malpighiales; Euphorbiaceae. The record is from RNAcentral.
UUGUCCAUUUAUGUUGCCUUCAUGCUAGAAAGCAUACAUGUUAAUUUAUUCAACUAGUCCAGUUAUCACCCUAGAGCAUGUUCAUACCCGUUCACUAACAUAUCUCAACCUUGAUAUUUAUGUGAGAGGUAUGAAGAGAUACUGGCUUUUGCUCUUUUCAUCUCUGUUUGUGUUUGUGCCCUUUUUUUUUUUUUCCGAGUAUUAGGAUGCUACAUGUGAUUGUCCCCUUUAUGCAUCUAGUUGAUCUCUGUCUAGCGCCCCA